CCUACGGGAGGCAGCAGUGGGGAAUCUUGCACAAUGGAGGAAACUCUGAUGCAGCGAUGCCGCGUGAGUGAAGAAGGCCUUUGGGUUGUAAAGCUCUUUUGUAGGGGAAGAUAAUGACUGUACCCUAAGAAUAAGGUCCGGCUAACUUCGUGCCAGCAGCCGCGGUAAUACGAAGGGACCUAGCGUAGUUCGGAAUUACUGGGCGUAAAGCGCGCGUAGGCCGUUGAGUUAGUUAAUUGUGAAAUCCCAAAGCUUAACUUUGGAACUGCAAUUAAAACUGCUCGACUAGAGUUUGAUAGAGGAAAGCGGAAUACAUAGUGUAGAGGUGAAAUUCGUAGAUAUUAUGUAGAACACCAGUUGCGAAGGCGGCUUUCUGGAUCAACACUGACGCUGAGGCGCGAAAGUAUGGGUAGCAAAGAGGAUUAGAUACCCUCGUAGUCCAUACCAUAAACGAUGAUUGCUAGAUGUUGGAAAUUUAUUUUCAGUAUCGCANNACNCAUANANANCNCNGGNGACGACGCGAGUAAACGUACAAGAGAGUAAGUGNGUUGAGUAGCGACGACGACGACGACGGAGGAGGAG
RNAcentral lists this ribosomal RNA (582 nucleotides) under uncultured bacterium. RNAcentral's name for it is "bacterial SSU rRNA". The stretch from base 1 to 510 matches the Rfam family "Bacterial small subunit ribosomal RNA", at positions 338 to 873 of the family's 1533-position model. The record is from RNAcentral.